GUUUAUGUUAGUGAAGUGACUUUUGGAAAGCCCCUAGGGAUGCUAUUCACUAGAGGAACCAACUGGCUACUGAAAAGUUUUUCACCAAAAGGAAUUUGAGGCAGCUUGCAAAAUUGAUUAAUAGGAUUGGAAAACAGACUUCAGAGCCAAACUUGGAUUUUAUCUGGAAGAAAGUUUCACCACAGCACACAGCUGUUGUGACCAGGAGAGACGGUGUGCUUCUGUGAACACAGGAUGUGCAGGCGGCAUCCUGGACUCCUUCACCUUCAGUGUUAAUAGAGGAGGUGGUCCCAGACACCAUGGGAAGGCAGCUGCUGCAGACCUGGGGGCUGUCUCCUUCUCCCUGGAGCUCCAUGGCUACUGGGCUCGGCUUCAGACACAGCCUUCACCUUCUGCUGUUACAUUUUCAUCAGGUGCCACGUUGCUGCACUCCUGUGCCUGGGAGACCAUCUGCCUCCUCUCACUGUGUUCAGACCAACCCCCAGGACUCUGCUCCAGAGGCAGGAGGCACCUGAAAGAGAGUUCCAGUUCUGGC
Long non-coding RNA from Bos taurus (domestic cattle), 535 nucleotides. NCBI's taxonomy places the organism in Eukaryota, Metazoa, Chordata, Mammalia, Artiodactyla, Bovidae. The record is from Ensembl.